RNAcentral lists this ribosomal RNA (253 nucleotides) under uncultured bacterium. RNAcentral's name for it is "partial 16S ribosomal RNA". It matches the Rfam family "Bacterial small subunit ribosomal RNA", at positions 524 to 776 of the family's 1533-position model. The record is from RNAcentral.
UACGUAGGGGGCAAGCGUUGUUCGGAAUUACUGGGCGUAAAGGGCGCGUAGGCGGCCUUCUAAGUCGAACGUGAAAUCCCCGGGCUCAACCCGGGAACUGCGUCCGAUACUGGAAGGCUUGAAUUCGGGAGAGGGAUGCGGAAUUCCAGGUGUAGCGGUGAAAUGCGUAGAUAUCUGGAGGAACACCGGUGGCGAAGGCGGCAUCCUGGACCGGCAUUGACGCUGAGGCGCGAAAGCCAGGGGAGCAAACGGG